AAAAAAUACAAAUUCACACAACACGGACAAGCCAAACCAAAGUACACCUCUAACUUUUUGUGAAGUGACUCUUGUACUACUCUGAGCUUACUGAGUAACUGAAGUUAAUUGCACUGUUUUUGCUGCUGCUUAUUCACAGUGUUUUCCUGAAGAGUUCUGUAGCUGAUCUUCCUUGUAGUUUGCAGCACUAUAAAAUUUGCCAUCGACACUACCCACCUACCUCCAAGGUUCCAAAAUAAACAAAAGAAGCCUUAUCCUGUACUUCUGAUGGAAUAAGCAAUGCUACUUCUAAGGGUUCCAUGAAGACUCCCUUUCUGCCAGGUUAUCCCCAUCAACCUGCUGCCAUCUGGGGCUUGCUCUUCUUACCCACAGAGCUGUCCUCACAGGCAGCACUGAAGGAGGAGGGAGGCUGGUGAGAGCUUCCCAGAGUACAGUGAACACAGACAAAAACUCACAUCUUCCAAGUCUCCUAAUAUUCUUUAAAAUGCUGCCAGACCAUCUUUUUAAAAUGUAGAUUGUACAGACAAAUCAUGCAGUCUUGUUAAUUUCUCCAAUUCUUGUCUGACAGUUCAGCUGUGAUUUUCGGUCCUUCUGGCUAUUCAUUUGGGGUGAUUUUUUUCACUUGGCAAACACAAGUCAUGGCUCCUUUCUCACGGACUGAGAGACAAAUGUUGAUGAUCCUCUCACAGUCAAAUAGCAAACCUAUCCAGACAUGCUCACGCAGCCCAGCAGCACCAUGCCAUCACUAUCCUUUGACUCAAGAAAAAUUAUUCCUUUUGAUGCCAAGAGUAAUUUAACAGAAUACAGAUGGAGGACAUGCAGAGUUUGGCCCAGUAGUUUUGACUAACAAAAUCAUGGUUGCUUUAGCUGUUUAUUCCCAUAGGAUUUUUUUUGUUGUUGUUGAUAAUGUGGGUUACUGGAAAGCACUUCUAGGCUUCAGAAGAGAUGAUUCAAAUCUGAUAGGGGGAGGGGGGAGUAGGCAGGUGGUGCAUGUUAAUUUGAGAUUGUUCAGAUCAACUAACCUUCAGCUCCUUUUCUCUGCCAAGUUCUCUCCUGGAUUUAUUCAGCACUCUAUGAAUUACUGCCUUUCCGCUUCUGCUCCUGGGGGGCCAGGCAACCAGUACUGCACAAGAUUCAUAAUGUCCUUCUUCCAUGACUCCAAAUACAAGCUGGUACAGUCAGAGUGGAGUCAGUGAUCCUCCACACACAGUUAGGCAAGACAAGAAGGCAAAAGAAGUGCCAAGAAUGAAAUAAUACUGUAUGAGGUUGCAUUUUUAUGUGAUCUGCUCCAUCUCUCUUUUUGGGCCUCAUAUCAAAUCAGCUAGAGUUACAGAGCUAACUGUAAUCCUGUUAUAAACUCCUUCCAGACAGGCAAAGGAAUGCCCCUCCUUACAACAGGCCAGAUACUUUAGUAUAAUACAAAUGCUCUAUUAACUUUUGGGUUAGCUAAUGGACGUAUUCCUGAAGUUUAAACUCACAGGUUAACUCACAAAAUUAUCUGUUAAAUCGCUUUGGUUUUAGUUCUGAAAACAUUUGUCUAACUGAUUUUAAAUUAAAAGGUUUCAAGAAAAAAAAGUCCAAGCACCCAAACAGAUGGCUGCAGGCAUGUUUGAUCACUUGAAAUAGCUAGUGAAGCUCAGCCUUGCUAGGGCAGGCACAGUGACUAUUUGGGUCUCCUGUGUUUCUAUGGGAUGCAGAGUUGCACAGUCUUUUCAUCAGGGUCUCUACAAAGCCAUUACACCAGAAGACAUUGUCUGCCAGCUUUACUUGCUAAGAUGAGUGUAAACAAAAUUCUCCUUAACUACACAAUACAAAUGGUCCUUGUGUCAUCAAAAGCAGUUUUGCUUUUUGUUAACUGUUCAACAGAGGAAUUUUCCACUGAAACAGCAGUAGAUCCCACAUGUGAUAUGAUGGGGAAAACACAGAAUGUAUCCGAGCAUGCUGCACAUUGAUCACAAAUUAUUUAGACUUCAAAACCUCUUGGACUACUGCUACUGAUGCAAAAGAAUCCUUUGUAACAACUGACACUAUGCAAUCUACAUCCGAAAUCAUGAAGAAUUCUGCUAAUGGCCAAGAAACUGAUAUAUGGCCAAAAAAAAAAGAAGCCUGUACCACUCCCAUACCAUCUGUAGAGUAGUAGCAUCAGAGAGUUAUGAAAACAUCUGUCCAACUGUUCAACAUGAAAGGAGUGCUUUAGGCCAGCCAAUGGACCCAAGCCAAAACUUUUGGACCUCACUGUAAGACUUAGACCCUACUAAGGGGCUGUCCUAGGGUGACGUUAUGAUGCUUGUAUCCCCAUUUGUGUAUUCUGUUUAUGCUGGAUACUAUGUUCUGUGACUUCAAGACUGGCUCUGAGGAGUGAAUGUUUUGUUUUGGUUUUGUUAUCAGUCAGCUCCCCCACAGCUGGUGGGACACGGAGACAGGCAGUACAUAGUGCGACUUUUGCUUUUUGGCUUGGUUUUUUGCUUGGCUUUUGCUCUUGCUUCUGCUUUGCUCCUGCUUUGCUCUUGCUUUUUGCUUCUGCUCAUUAAUUAGUUUAGCUAAGCAGUCUGAAUUUUUCCCUGGACUGUUUUUCUUUCCCUUUUUUGGAACUACUUGAACCUGCUCCAGACUGGGAUCUGGGAAACACCAAGAGUUUGCACUUUGUGGCCUGCAGCAGCCAUCCCCAGUGCCGGAGGGACCAACAACAGAGCAACCAUUCCCAAGAGACUGUCUGAACUUGUCAUCCUUUUCAGAGCGGUGAAAGAGUGUUCUCAUCCGGAGCUGAGUUUGCCUUCUGCUGGGGCUGGGAUGAUGCAAGUAUGUCUGCAAUCCAGUAUUAUUUUUUAUCUGUCCCUAGUACUCUCCUAGCAACUCUCUUUUUCCUCAAGCAGAGCUAGCUAAGUGGCAAGCAGCUCUGAGGGUGGAUCUCCACACCUACACAAAAUCCCACAGGAACAGGCUGUGUUUUGUGUGAAGACAAGUGGUUCCUGGCAGCUUUAGGUUUAUGCAAGCUGAGACUUCAAAAAGCAGUGCUACCUCAGGACUCCCAGAAGAAAUCUACUUAAGCAGCUUUUUUCUCCAGCUCUAUAACUUUAUUGAGGCUGAUGAACAUUUGGCAUAUACUUGAAGGAUAUCUGGCCACAUUUGAGCCUCCAGAGAUAGAGUUCUACAACAGAGAUCCCAGAAACAACUUUAAAGCUCUGGGCCUCAAUCACCAGAGAUACUCUUCUGAUAUCCAGAGAAAUAUGAACAUGACUGAAGACUACAAAAUUACAAUCUUAUUAAAAAAAAAAAAAAAAAAAGUAAAUCUUUAUUUGAUGGGGAGGGACAGAAUACUUUAAUACUGCAGUGCAAGUAACAAAUCAAGCCUUGGUUCCCCGAAGUCAGAAAGAAUUUGGACCAAGGGAAGAGUACAGAGUGAACUAAGUUUAGUCUUAAGCAAUAUUAGCUUAAGUAUUGUAAUAUAUGUUAUAAAAUAAUUCGUGCUAAAGGAAAUUAAAAACCACAGCAUUUUGUGCGCUAAACCCAGUGUCGGGCAACAAGCAGUAACAGGCUAAGUAAUAAGGAUGGCGAUUCAAACACCAGGAGGACGACCGUCUCCAGAGAUAUAUAUUUCAAGGGUUUUUUUUCAUCUGACAAGACCCCAGCAGAAGGCAUUUGAUAGGCAUCAUCAAUUAGAUAAUAUUUGAUGCCAGAAGUUUAUCCCAGAAGAUUUUCACCUGACAGGACUUCAGCAAUUAUUCACCAGUUCUGAGAAAUGCAGCAGCAAGAAAGAAAAAAAGCUCCAGUAAUAUGCUAAAGAAGGGACCCCUUCCAGAGCCCAAAAGACUGUAUAAAAUGAACCCCUUAGAAAUGACAUUUGGAGACCCACAGGGACUUUGGUGUGAUAGAAGCCAAACCCUGGGUUUCCCCAAUUCUGAUUGCUUGGCUCAGAGUCGAAUUGCUUGGGGCUUUUUAC
Molecule: long non-coding RNA, 3940 nt
Organism: Motacilla alba alba
Lineage: Eukaryota; Metazoa; Chordata; Aves; Passeriformes; Motacillidae
Exons: 4
Source: RefSeq, a predicted model, not a curated record